CAGCAGCCAGAGGGCUACCAGUCCUUCACUCUCACUCCUACUCCUUUUUAUUGCCACAUGCACCCCUCCCGCUCUUUCUCUGUCUCUUUUUCUCACUCUCUCGCCCUCUGUGUAUCUCAGGGCUAAAUCGCAUCCUUUUGUACAUCACCACCCCAUUUCAGAUGAGAGAGUUGGCAGAGGGAGCAAAAACUGGAGGAAAAAAAGAAGAUGUGUAUGUGCGUGUGAAUGUGCGUCCAAAGACAAAGCCGUGAAAAUCCUCAUUCCUCAUCUGCCUCGUCACAUCUACUGCCAUCAACAGGUUUCUGUGAGGCUGCAUCAUCAGUUAUGACUCGACCCACACAGAACCUGCUGCCCACAGAAUUCCACAGAAAUCUCUGCAGAGCCCAGCAGACUUCAAAUGCACAUCAUUCAGAAAUUCCACAUCUCCAUUUACAUUUAUUUCUUUCCUUUACCUUAAUAUCAUUGCAUUUGUGUCGAAGCUGUUGCGCAAAAGGUAGAGUGCUUGUUCACGACACAUACAGUACUAGAUCUGUUGGCUCACAGGGACCCGGGUUCAAAUCCGGCCUCCCUCACUUUCCUGUAUGACUCUAAUGUUAUCUAAAUAAAAGGUUGAAAAAGCACCCAAAACAUUUAAUAAAUAAUUAAAAGAUCAGAAGAGGAGAUGGAUUCAGUAUGAGCAAAACUGAGAAAAGAGAGCUAAAGGUCAAAAAAUGGAAAUUACUAAAGUGACUCUUGACUUAUUAGAAGUCACAGAGAGAAAGUACAAGAGAUAUAAAAGCUGUUGGCUUGGCUCACAGGAACCGGAGUUUGAAUCUGGCCUGGGGCCAUGUCCUGAUUCUGCUCACCCUUUCUCUCCUCCACUUUCCUGUCUACCGCUACUGUCUACUAAAUAAAAGAUUGUAAAAUCCCCAAAAUAAAAACGAUAAUUGCAUUUUGAA
Myxocyprinus asiaticus (Chinese sucker) is the source of this 938-nucleotide long non-coding RNA. RefSeq lists it as uncharacterized. The record is from RefSeq and is a predicted model, not a curated record. The transcript is spliced from 3 exons. NCBI's taxonomy places the organism in Eukaryota, Metazoa, Chordata, Actinopteri, Cypriniformes, Catostomidae.